RNAcentral lists this ribosomal RNA (351 nucleotides) under uncultured bacterium. RNAcentral's name for it is "bacterial SSU rRNA". It matches the Rfam family "Bacterial small subunit ribosomal RNA", at positions 917 to 1264 of the family's 1533-position model. The record is from RNAcentral.
GGGCCCGCACAAGCGGUGGAGCAUGUGGUUUAAUUCGAAGCAACGCGCAGAACCUUACCCAGGCUUGACAUCUCUAGAACCUCAGGGAAACCCGAGGUGCCUCCUCACGGAGGAAUUAGAUGACAGGUGCUGCAUGGCUGUCGUCAGCUCGUGCUGUGAAGUGUUCGGUUAAGUCCGGCAACGAGCGCAACCCCUAUCGUUAGUUACCAGCAUUCAGUUGGGGACUCUAGCGAGACUGCCGGUGAUAAACCGGAGGAAGGUGGGGAUGACGUCAAGUCCUCAUGGCCCUUAUGUCUGGGGCUACACACGUGCUACAAUGCUACGGACAAAGGGCAGCAAACUCGCGAGAGC